GACGAACGCUGGCGGCGCGCCUAACACAUGCAAGUCGAACGAGCGAGAGAGAGCUUGCUUUCUCGAGCGAGUGGCGAACGGGUGAGAACGCGUUAGGAACCUGCCCCCAAGAGGGGGAAAACAGUUGGAAACGACUGCCAAUUCCCCAAAAGCCCACGGCUCGGCAUCGAGCAGGGGGAAAAGGAGCAAUCCGCCUUGAGAUGGCCUCGCGUCCGAUUAGCUAGUUGGUGAGGUAACGGCCCACCAAGGCGACGAUCGGUAGCCGGACUGAGAGGUUGAACGGCCACAUUGGGACUGAGACACGGCCCAGACUCCUACGGGAGGCAGCAGUGGGGAAUAUUGCACAAUGGGGGAAACCCUGAUGCAGCGACGCCGCGUGGAGGAAGAAGGUCUUCGGAUUGUAAACUCCUGUUGUUGGGGAAGAUAAUGACGGUACCCAACAAGGAAGUGACGGCUAACUACGUG
Molecule: ribosomal RNA, 465 nt
Filed under: uncultured bacterium
Lineage: Bacteria
Description: partial 16S ribosomal RNA
Rfam family: Bacterial small subunit ribosomal RNA
Source: RNAcentral